CAGUAGCCGCGUAACACGGAGGGUGCAAGCGUUAAUCGGAAUUACUGGGCGUAAAGCGCACGCAGGCGGUCUGUCAAGUCGGAUGUGAAAUCCCCGGGCUCAACCUGGGAACUGCAUUCGAAACUGGCAGGCUAGAGUCUUGUAGAGGGGGGUAGAAUUCCAGGUGUAGCGGUGAAAUGCGUAGAGAUCUGGAGGAAUACCGGUGGCGAAGGCGGCCCCCUGGACAAAGACUGACGCUCAGGUGCGAAAGCGUGGGGAGCAAACAGGAUUAGAUACCCCAGUAGUCCCUGUCUCUUAUACA
RNAcentral lists this ribosomal RNA (301 nucleotides) under uncultured bacterium. RNAcentral's name for it is "partial 16S ribosomal RNA". It matches the Rfam family "Bacterial small subunit ribosomal RNA", at positions 509 to 808 of the family's 1533-position model. The record is from RNAcentral.